Molecule: long non-coding RNA, 515 nt
Organism: Oncorhynchus nerka (sockeye salmon)
Lineage: Eukaryota; Metazoa; Chordata; Actinopteri; Salmoniformes; Salmonidae
Exons: 3
Source: RefSeq, a predicted model, not a curated record
CUUUUAUUGUCCAUUUGCAUGGAAAUAUAAUCAGCUGGAAGGCUUCUGGCAGUUGCGGUACAGUCAGCAGAUGGUAUACUGUAGGAGCUGGCCUAUGUGAUAAGAAUGCAUGUGCAAAUGUUAAGCAGGAGAAGAAGUACAACAUUUGAUUAGUUUGCUGCAAAGGAAGGCAAGGCUUUUGGGUCUUUGUCAAUGGUGAGAAAACAAGCAAGGUGAUCAAGACAGGAACUACUGCCAUGGCAACAAGGGCCAGCUGUCACCUCUGUCUGUGUUCCUGGUCUUCACUGGUUCACUGGCUGUAAUCUUCACCUCUCUACGGGAGACUGGAGACUAGAUCUCUGUCUCCACUUUGACCCAUGUGCCUGUCACUGCUGCAGACCUGGCGCCAGAAUAAAGUGAGAUCGGUGAGGGGGCAGUUGAAAUCGGGCACAAUUUGGGGGGAUUCUUGCAUUGGAAUGACAUUGAAUUCCGCUUAAUGACGCUACACCCCAAUAAACAAAGUUCAAAUGCUGAGA